This 525-nucleotide long non-coding RNA is filed under the name Heterocephalus glaber (naked mole-rat). Its description in RNAcentral is "lncRNA (ENSHGLG00000033139.1)". The record is from RNAcentral. Lineage: Eukaryota; Metazoa; Chordata; Mammalia; Rodentia; Bathyergidae.
CUUUAACAUUCCAUUAAACCUCAGUCACUUGUGGGACUAUGUUUCAGGAUACAGUCUUCACCAGUUGUUCAAUCUUUUCUGGAGUCACAAUUGUUCUUCAUGGUCCUAAUUCCUGCUUCAUGGUCCCUGGAUGUGACAUCCCCAAUCCAUUUCUCUGAAUGCCUGAAUUCACUGGAAAUAUGUCUCUCACUCCCUUAGAAUUUAGCAGUGAAUCCAUCAAGGCCUGGGCUUUUCUUUGUUGCUUUAUUGUAGGAUCUUAUGUCUUAACAUAGAAGAUCAUGUCAUCUACAAAUAAAACUUCCUCGUGGAGAAGGCCAUAUGACAAGGAAUGGAAGAAGGCCUCUGACCAACAGCUAAAGAAGCAAUCAGAAGCAGAUGCAGAGAUGAAGUAUAUUUGCACAGAAUUUCCUGAAGUACUCUCAGGAGAGACUAAUUACAAGUCUGGAAGCAGCAGAAAAAUAUUGUAAAGAAGCUAUCAAAGGAACAAUUUCAGGUUCAGUGGUAGCCUCAGUCAGUCUUCUGGGG